This 129-nucleotide ribosomal RNA is filed under the name uncultured bacterium. Its description in RNAcentral is "partial 16S ribosomal RNA". It matches the Rfam family "Bacterial small subunit ribosomal RNA", at positions 363 to 509 of the family's 1533-position model. The record is from RNAcentral.
AUUGGUCAAUGGGGGAAACCCUGAACCAGCAACGCCGCGUGAGGGAAGACGGUUUUCGGAUUGUAAACCUCUGUCCUCUGUGAAGAUAAUGACGGUAGCAGAGGAGGAAGCUCCGGCUAACUACGUGCC